Non-coding RNA from Carassius auratus (goldfish), 505 nucleotides. The record is from the annotation of a RefSeq genome assembly. NCBI's taxonomy places the organism in Eukaryota, Metazoa, Chordata, Actinopteri, Cypriniformes, Cyprinidae.
AAGGAGGAGUUUAGCACAGACUCUAUACAGCUGAGUAGAUCUGAACAUCACACAACACUGUGUGGAGCAGCUGCUCUGUUUUUAGCUUGUUCUUAUACUAGUUCAGUGAGUGAACAUGUUGAUCUAUAUUGUUAUACUGCUGUCAUUAACCGAAGGUUCCAGAGCCUCAGAAGUCAUCACUCCAAAAAGAAACAGAGAAUUUGCUCUUGAGGGUGACAUUAAUGUGACACUCUCCUGUAACUACAACGGUUCUGCUCGUGGUGUUCACUGGUAUCGUCAAUAUGCAGGUUCACCACCACAGUUCCUCAUACUGGAAUAUUCAGGGGUAACAACUCCAGCUAAACCACCCAUUCCAGGAAUAACCAUCAAUCACAGAAAAACUGAAAGCCAUGUGGAUCUGAAGAUCUCCUCUGCUGCUGUAUCAGACUCUGCUCUGUACUACUGUGCUCUGCAGCCCACACUGACAGGAAAACAGACUGCACUGAACAAAAACCUACCUGAGUAG